ACGGGUGAGUAACACGUGGGCAACCUGCCCUUGAGACUGGGAUAACUUCGGGAAACCGGAGCUAAUACCGGAUAAUAUGAGGAACCUCCUGGUUCUUUAUUGAAAGAUGGUUUCGGCUAUCACUUAAGGAUGGGCCCGCGGCGCAUUAGCUAGUUGGUGAGGUAACGGCUCACCAAGGCGACGAUGCGUAGCCGACCUGAGAGGGUGAUCGGCCACACUGGGACUGAGACACGGCCCAGACUCCUACGGGAGGCAGCAGUAGGGAAUCUUCCACAAUGGACGAAAGUCUGAUGGAGCAACGCCGCGUGAGUGAUGAAGGCCUUCGGGUCGUAAAGCUCUGUUGUUAGGGAAGAACAAGUGCGAGAGUAACUGCUCGCACCUUGACGGUACCUAACCAGAAAGCCACGGCUAACUACGUGCCAGCAGCCGCGGUAAUACGUAGGUGGCAAGCGUUGUCCGGAAUUAUUGGGCGUAAAGCGCGCGCAGGUGGUUUCUUAAGUCUGAUGUGAAAGCCCACGGCUCAACCGUGGAGGGUCAUUGGAAACUGGGGAACUUGAGUGCAGAAGAGGAAAGUGGAAUUCCAA
This 584-nucleotide ribosomal RNA is filed under the name uncultured bacterium. RNAcentral describes it as "bacterial SSU rRNA". It matches the Rfam family "Bacterial small subunit ribosomal RNA", at positions 102 to 672 of the family's 1533-position model. The record is from RNAcentral.